Molecule: long non-coding RNA, 447 nt
Organism: Dreissena polymorpha
Lineage: Eukaryota; Metazoa; Mollusca; Bivalvia; Myida; Dreissenidae
Exons: 2
Source: RefSeq, a predicted model, not a curated record
UUUAACCAGGUUUUCCGAAGGAAAAAACUGGUUAUUAGAUUGGCGAAUGCGGGCGGGCUGGCUGGCUGGCGGGCUGGCGGAAUAAGCUUGUCCGGGCCAUAACUAUGUCGUUCAUUGUCAGAUUUUAAAAUCAUUUGGCACAUUUGUUCACCAUCAUUGGACGGUGUGUCGCGCGAAAUAAUUACGUCGAUAUCUCCAAGGUCAAGGUCACACUUUGAGUUCAAAGGUCAAAAAUGGCCAUAAAUGAGCUUGUCCUGGCCAUAACUAUGUCAUUCAUUGUGAGAUUUUAAAAUCAUUUGGCACAUUUGUUCACCAUCAUGGGACGGUGUGUCCCACGAAAGAAUCACGUCAAUAUCUCCAAUGUCAAGGUCGCCACGACUAAAAAUAGAUUUAAAAAAAAAAAAAAAUUACAAAGGGGGUUAAUUUUUUUUGGUCAUUUCAAAAGUU